RNAcentral lists this ribosomal RNA (192 nucleotides) under uncultured rumen bacterium. RNAcentral describes it as "partial 16S ribosomal RNA". It matches the Rfam family "Bacterial small subunit ribosomal RNA", at positions 340 to 524 of the family's 1533-position model. The record is from RNAcentral.
UACGGGAGGCAGCAGUGGGGAAUCUUCCGCAAUGGGCGCAAGCCUGACGGAGCAACGCCGCGUGAGUGAAGAAGGUUUUCGGAUCGUAAAGCUCUGUUGUCAGGGACGAGAGACUUAUUCAGGAAAUGGGAUAAGGAGGACGGUACCUGACGAGGAAGCCACGGCUAACUACGUGCCAGCAGCCGCGGUAAU